GACGAACGCUGGCGGCGUGCUUAACACAUGCAAGUCGAACGGAAAGGCCCUGCUUUUGUGGGGUGCUCGAGUGGCAAACGGGUGAGUAACACGUGAGUAACCUGCCCUUGACUUUGGGAUAACUUCAGGAAACUGGGGCUAAUACCGGAUAGGAGCUCCUGCUGCAUGGUGGGGGUUGGAAAGUUUCGGCGGUUGGGGAUGGACUCGCGGCUUAUCAGCUUGUUGGUGGGGUAGUGGCUUACCAAGGCUUUGACGGGUAGCCGGCCUGAGAGGGUGACCGGCCACAUUGGGACUGAGAUACGGCCCAGACUCCUUCGGGAGGCAGCAGUGGGGAAUAUUGCACAAUGGGCGGAAGCCUGAUGCAGCAACGCCGCGUGCGGGAUGACGGCCUUCGGGUUGUAAACCGCUUUCGCCUGUGACGAAGCGUGAGUGACGGUAAUGGGUAAAGAAGCACCGGCUAACUACGUG
Molecule: ribosomal RNA, 468 nt
Filed under: uncultured bacterium
Lineage: Bacteria
Description: partial 16S ribosomal RNA
Rfam family: Bacterial small subunit ribosomal RNA
Source: RNAcentral